AAGCAAGCGGAGGCACCGACCUGAGGAACGCUCAAAAUUAAAAUUUAAGAGCAAGCCCGGGAAUUUACGGUGGAGGGGUGCAAGUUCCGAGGGGACGCCGGAAAAGCCUGCGACGUCCACCCCUGACGACCGCCCUCGGGGGCGAACUGCCGCUCAGGAGGGCGAUCCGGACGCCCUGCCCGCGGCCCCGGCACGGCAGCCCCGGCGCGGCGGCCCGGCUUCGGCUUCCGCCCCAGCCCGGUCCCGGCGUCCUGCACCGCCGGCCCGGCCUCACUCACAGCAUGAUCCGCGAGACGUGCAGCCGCACCGGGACGCUCCUGUCUUUGAAGGCGGUGGUGAUGAAGCAGCCGAAGGUGAGCGCCGCCAUCACGCUCAGCGAGAAGGCGAACAGUGAGUUCGCCCGCGACAGCACCGUGUUCAUCGCGAUCGUCUCCCACGAGUCCGGACUCCACACGCACACCCAGGCUCCCGUUCCGGCGGCGGACCGGCUCCCUGCGAUCCGCGCCGUCUGCGGUGCGCGCGUUCCGGGAGCGCGCGCCGCCGCAGCCCCGCCUCCUUUCCGGUCCUCCGACGCGAGCGCGCGCGCGCCCGCUUCCCGAAACACACCCACAGCGCGCACGGGGCGGCGCGGAAAGGGAGAGACUCAGCCGCGGGCCCGCCCCUCCGUCGCGGCCUAACGCCGCCACCAAUCAGCGACGAGUGAGGGAGGGGCGGGGUUUGUUGUGGAAGACCCACCCCCUCCUCUUCUAAAUUGCUUCUCCGACCUUUGGGUUCAGAGAAUUGGGAACCGGUCGUUCGCUGUCCUUUUUCGGUUCUUUGGUCAGAGGUCUGGGACUGCGACUUCUUGAUUACUUAUGUACCAUUUAUUUUCACUUGAAACCGGCAGCAAGUUAAGGUGGUUUAGAAUCUGUCCUGACGGGUGGCGUUUGGAAGCAGCACUUUACAAAACGCCUGGUCCUCUCCCUUCUUUGUCAAACCUGGUCAAAGUUAGGACUUGAGCUUUUUUUGGAGGAUCUGAGGAGCAGUGGGGAGUGGGGAAUUAGCCGCCCAAGUCCUUAAAGCUGUCACGUGCAUCAGUAUUUCCACCUCCAACGUCAGUCCAAUUCCUAUUAAUGCUUUGCUUUGUAUGGAUAGCUAAAGAUGUUUUAGAAGAUAAGGGUUGAGGCUACCGAUCCUAAGUAUUUGCAUUUUAACAUGGUGAUUUCUGAUAAAUAAAAGGAUAACCUUUCUGGGUUCUUAGGAGCAAAGAAGAUAAUGGCUGCGGAAUUGCUCUACAGCAUAAUGUAUAAGAAUUUCGUUGGGUCAUUAAUAAAUAAUGCAAUUAUUUUAUCACAUUUUCAAUAUCCUGAAGGGCAUUAGGGUUCAAACCGAGCCAAUCCUGACUCUGAUUAUACUAUCUGCCAAAACCUUUGUUCCUUUCACAGCUAAGGGUUUUUAUAAAAAUGGAUUCAGGGUCUGCUGAAAUAAAUUUUUUUUAAAAAUUUCAGUCCAUAAACCAAACAAAAAUAUCUGUCCUGGAAUGUGAUCAGGAACAAACCAGAAAACUGUGAACAUCUGAUCUUGAUACUGGCUUAUGUUGUCUCUUGUUAAGCUUUUGCUUCUUUGCAUUAUUCAUGACCAUUCAAUUAAUUUUUGUAUAGCCAUACAGGUAGGAUUAUUACCAAGUGCCUACCGUGUACCAGGAAUAGUUCUAAGCCUUGAGAAUACAGCACUAAUAAGGCAGACUCCCUGCUCAAAUAGAGCCAACUAAUGAAAAAUCGAUAAAAUAGAGACUAAAGAGAGAUCCUUAGUUGCGUUUAAAAUCUUAGUUUUUAACUUCCAGGCUGGCACAGUUUGUUAACAAAAAAAGAAAAAAAAGGAUUUUUAUUGAAUGCCAUCUAUACUGCAAGUGAUACAGAGAUUGUACUGAUCACUUUCUACACUCAAAAGUAUAUAAUCAGGUAGAGUUAAUAAAAUAAAAACAAAUCUGAAAUGUAAAACAAAAAAAUACCCUGGGAAGUUACAUAGCAAAGGAGGAAGGAAUUACAGCCCUGGUAAUGUGGGACAACACAGUGUGCAAAUUAUUUAACACAAAGCCUAAACAAGACACAUUAUUAUUAUAGCAUGUUUUAGGGAAAUAAUUCUUGUUGUUGAACUGCAAGUACAGGUAUAUCUAAGAGAUACUCAGAAGGCUGGUCCUGAUAAACAAUGCAUGUAUAAAAGAGUAAGCAGAAAUAAGCCUGGAAAGGUAAGUUAUGGUAGAAAACCAGGUCAAGAAGUUGACUUUAUAUCAGGGAAAUUACAUGUAAAACAAGCAUCGCUACACAGGCAACCAUUUACCAGUUAUAUGUGGAGAGUGAGUGAUGGACCCAAAAGGAAGACUGAUAGGAGGGGCAUUUCGGAAACAAACUCUAUGUUACUUAGCAACUGCCUAAAUAAGAGUGGGGGUCUGCAAAGCAUAGAGUGAAUGCAGAUUGUGAACACUCAAAUGAAACUAGUAUUAUUAUUAUGACACCACAGUUUUUAACUUGACUUACUGGUAGUGCUAAAAACACAUAAAAGUCCACAAAAAGAGCAGGAGAGGGAUGGGAUAGGGAAUUUUCUUAUUCUGUUUUAUUUUUCCAAGUGUUUCUUUAGAUUUUCUAGACAUUUAUAUCACCUACAUUAGAUAUCAUUUUGCCUUUUCCGUUCCAAUUAUUAUAUUUCCAAUUGUUUAUUCAUUUCAGUAGCUAAUAUUUCCAACAUGAUAUUCAGUCAGAUGGGGACAACUGAUAUCUUUUUGUUCCUGAUUUGAGCAGGAAAUUUCCUUUCAUUUCUCCAUCAAGUAAGAUGUUGGCUUUGAGAUGGAAAUUGUGUGUGUGUGUGUACAUGUAUCAUUAUAUAAUAUAUAUUGCAUAUUGAUAGGAAAUAUCUAUUCCUAUUGGGAAAUUUUUAAAAAUAUAAACAAGUGCUAAAUUGUUUUCAGAUGCAUUUUCCCUAUCUUAUUUCCUCUACUUCUUUCCUCUAUCUUAUUUCCUCUGCUUAUUUAAUGGGUUAUAUGAAUAGAUUUUAUAAUAUUGGCCCAGUAAGCAUUCCUGGAAUAAACUCCACCUGGUCAUGAUGAAUUAGUUUUUAAUAUGCUCUUGUGCUUUCUUUGCUAAUUUUGGGGUUUUUUGUUUUUUAGUUUGUGUAAUCAAUAUUCAUAGUGAAACUGAUGUGUUUUUUUGAUUGUAAUAUUAUACUCAAAUUAGAAAAUAUAUAUUUCUAAUAUAACAAGGAAAAUAAGUUUUCCUUAGUUUUCUGUGCACUGGGAUAUUUUAAGUAGCAUUUGGAUCUGGUCUUUAAAAAUUUGAUAGAAAAUUUGGUAGAAAUUCCCAAGGGAGUCUAUUCUUCUAUUUUUUUUAAAUUAUUAAUUGUUAAUUCUAAUUAUGUAUACUUGUGCUUUCUACCUUUUUCAUUUAUUGUUUUAAUUAGUAUUUUUUCUUGUUUUCUUUCAAAGCACUUCUGCAUUUACUAAUUAACUCUACUGUUUUCCAACUCAUUAAUUUUUGGUUUUAACACUAUCAACUUUUUUCAUUCCACUUUUUUUGUUUAUUAGCUUUGGAAAUUGGAUAUUUAGUUGGUAUAUUUUUCAUGUUUAUUGUUAUGGUAACUGCUUUAGCUGUAUCCUAAAAUUUCUGACUAUGAAUUUCCAAGAGAAAGUACCAUUUUUCCUUUUGAUUGCUUUAAAUUAAUGUCUGAUUUUAAAUCAUGUAGGCAGAGAAUGCUGUUUGUAUAUUUCUAUUCUUUGGAUUAUUGAGGUCUUCUUUGUGGCCUAAAAUGUCACUUUUGUGAAAAUUCAAUGUGCAACUUGAAAGAAGGUAUUUCCUCUUAAUAGUAUAUAGAAUUUGAUAGAUACCUAUGAGAUCUGCCUUAUUGAUUAUGUUAUUUAUGUCUUUUACAUCUGUAGUAAUAUUUGUUACCUUCAUUUUCUUGGAUUCUGAGAGAUUUGUUAAAAUCUCCAAUACUGUGUUUUGUCUGUUUAUUCUCACAUCUCCUAUAGUUUCUCCUUCACAAAAAUUGUUGAUAUAUUAUUUGGUAAGCAAGUAUUAAUAAUAGUUACAUUUUCAUUAUGAAUGGUAGUCUUCAACAUUGUAACGUGUUAUUUUAUUUUUAAUGCUUUUUGAUGCAAAUACUACUAGUCAAACACUGAGGUUGUACUGAAGGAAACUGAGGCUGUUUAUCUGAAAUAGUAUUACAGACCUUAAAUUAAUACGUAGCAUUUUUAAACUAAGUGUCUUGUACUCUUUAAUGAUUUCAGCUCAGAACCUAGUGGCAGUAAUGGGGGGAGCGAUUGGCAUGCUUUGUCAGCGCUUGAGUAAAUAGCGAUCAGCUGGGAAAGACAUGCCUAACUGUAUUUCUGAAGGAUAGAAAGAAACCUAGAAUAAAUGUAAAGUUUUGAUCUUCAUAUUUGCAAAUAAUUAUUCUUCUGUAACACCAAGCUAAGAAGAGGUAAGAACAAUAAAUCACUUUAUAAGGAAAUCUUUAAAUAAAGCUGUGUGCACAUGGCCAGAUAAUGCUUUUUAAAAAGGGGAUAAACUGAAAGAUAUAAUAAAAGCCUUCUUUUUUUUUUUUGAGAUGGAAUUUCGCUCUUGUUGCCCAGGCUGGAGUGCAAUGGCGCGAUCUCAGCUCACUGCAACCUCCACCUCCCAGGUUCAAGUGAUUCUCCUGCCUCAGCCUCCCGAGUAGCUGGGAUUACAGGCGCCCGCCACCACGCCCAGCUAUUUUUUUGUAUUUUUUGUGGAGACAGGGUUUCACCAUGUUGGCCAGGCUGGUCUUGAACUCCCGACCUCAGCCGAUCCGCCCGCCAAGGCCUCACAAAGUGCCGGGAUUAUGGGCAUGAGCCACUGCGCCCGGCCAAUAAAAACGUUCUAAUUAAAUAUGGUGUUAUUGGGAAUAUCCAAAGAGUCCACAAAGCACCAAGCUCCCCAGGGAAGUUCCUGCAAUGGAGCAUGUUAUAGAUCUAGCACAUUAAGGACUCAAAUGGUUUUCAGAAAGUGACUAUGAAUUAUGUUGUUCAUCAUAGAGAGUGGGGAUCAGGUCUUGUUCAUUUUUCUAUCCCUUUCAGUGCCCAGGACACUGAGCCUUGCACGUAGUAGAUGGUCAAAAAAAUUCUUAUUGAAUUGAGAUACCUUGAAAUCAUAGAUCAUGAUAUUUUUGAAAGAAUUCUCAUGUAAAGCAUAUAUGUCACACACAGGUAACGAACAGUUAAAGUGUAAAUGGGUAAAAUGGUAAAGUGUAAAGCUAAAUUGAAUAUGUAGGCCAAGGACAAAUUGUAAAAGGCUUGAGUGCCAGGCUAAUAAGUUUGAUCAUAAUUCAGGAGACAAUAACGAACUUUUGAGGAUUUUAGAUCAGUUGAGUGUCAUGACCAUGUAGGCUCUCAGUAGAUAAGUAAUUUCUUUGAGACGGAUGCGACUGCCAGUUUGUAGACCAGGCCAGAAGUUAUUGCAGUAGGUUUUUGUUAUAGUUGUUGUUUUGAAGAUACUUGCUUGGUUAAUCGAAAGAUAUAAUCAGUCAAGCUGGUAAGUAGACUAUUCCAGUGUGAUAAUUCCAGGAGUGCUAUGUUUGUGAAUCUCUUUAAAGAGGAAAAAAAAAAAGUUCAGAAGGAAAACCAGUUUUUGGCUAGCAGGUACCCAAAUUCCAGACUCUCAAAAGGAAAGGUGGGACAUUAUGUGAAGAUGUUUGGCAUAAACCACAUCGUGGACAGUUAGUCACAGUGAGCCACUCUUAUCACUUAGGGAAAGUUUCCUAUCAGUGCGGGGAACUGUUUACCAGCCAUGUUCCCAGACACCAGCCGAGGGCCAACCUUGCAUACAGGUUUUUCUAAGGAUCGAUAUCUCAGGCCUGUUGCGGUAGUUUAAAAACAUUGCUUUCAGGUCAUUUUAUUUCUGUUGAAAGCUUUUUUGAGAAUGAUUCCUAUAGCACAUAAGAAAAUGUAAGAAUGUAUUUAAAUUUUUAUUAUAGUAUAUUUCCUUCAUUUAUUUUCCUUUUUUUAAUACUAAGUUUGCCUACUCAGCUCAGAUCCCUUCAAACAGAACUAUUUUAUUCACUCAGUAGACCAUGGAGAACUUAUAAAAAGCCCAUUGUCCGCCACAGACCUCUAAGGAUAGUAUUUCUCCAAGCAGCUUCUCUUCCUUUUGUUCUCCCAUCACUGUCACUCUUUUGCGUCUUGGCUUUUCACUCUAAUUCUUCAUUCCCAUCUCAGGCCCUCCUUUCUCAGACUUGCUAUUUGAACCUAGCUGUUGAACCAUGUUUCUAGCCCACCUGUAGGCACUUGACCCUGAGCUUGCUUGAGCAGUUAGCUCAUGAAUUCAUAGCUGCCUGGCCCACAUGCACAUGUCAGAAUCAUUUAUUGUGCAUCGUUAAGAGCAGAACCAGAUAGCAUACCAGAGAUCAUUGGUUUCCGAGAAUCUGUACCUCACCCUCCCAAGGAAAAUGGACAAGAAGCCCUUCCAUAUUCUCUAGACAGUCAAGGACGUCCAAAAGUUAUUGGGAUUCUUUGAACAGUUUUAGCAGUUAAUAUUCAGCUUCUCUGCUUAUAUUAUCUGGACAACUAUCCUUUUCAGGAAAGUGAGAGAGUUUGCUUGGCUCCUUGUGAAGCCUGUAGCAUUCUCGUAGUUAACGAACCUAGUAAAUUUUUCUGUCUUCUUGGCCUUUUCUGACUCACCCACAAACUCACUGCUGAAACUAUAUCUCUAAUAUGCUAUCGUGAACAUCUGGUCACCAGAGAACCUAGGUUGUAAUUUGUAUCACUGCAUUUUCAUUCUAAAGAAACUAGUCCCAGCUGAGGUUAAUGGACCUGUGAAAUCACUACCAAUAUAAAUGCUGGCUUUAGGGAAAUACCUGCUACUUGAAGUCAGGCUAAUCCCCAUUUAUGAUACAUUAAGACAACUAAAGCUCUAGAAUAAAUAAGGUCCUAUAUGGUGAGUUAAUUAUUUAACUUGAGUUUUUUUGAUUAUAGGAAAGUUUCUGGAUUCCCAUUUGCAAACAAAAGCAGCUAUAUCUGAAAAGGAAACAAAGAGGGAAAAUUAUUGUGGGAACUGUGUAGAAAGGAGUUAACAGACCUGAGGCUUCUGUUCUUAAAAAAGACCUGCUUGCAAGGUUGGCUCUUGGCUGGUGUUGGAUAACUUGGCUGAUAAACAGUUUCCUACACUGAUAUAAAACUUUCCCUAAAUGAUAAGAAUGGCCUAAACUGUUUGUAGAAACAGUGUGGUUUAUGCUAAACACCUGCCUUCCUUCUGGGAGUCUGGAAUUUUGGUAUGUGUUAGGCAGAGGGUGCUUACAUUGCCACCCCUCAAUGAAAACCUUGAGCACUGGUUAAUGAGCUCUUUUGGCUGAUAACUUCACAUAAAUCUGUUACUGGAGGAACUGAGCACAUCCUGUGAGACUCCAUUAGGACUCUUGGAAGUGUGUGCCUGGUUUCUUCCAAACUUCUCCUCAUGCACCUUUUCCCUUUGCUGAUUUUGUUUUAUAUCCUUUAACUGUAAUACCCCUAACUGUGAAUAUGAUUAUAUAUAUAUUUCAUCCUGUGAGCCCUGCUGGUGGGUUGGUCUUGGGAACCCUAAACACAAGGACUACCUCCCAUUUCAUACAUUUUCAUAUUCAGAAUGUCGUAAGGAUUUCUGCAGAGCCAAGGGAAACUUAGCCCCAUCCUUUUCUGUAAUGGGAGGGGUAUUAUUAUUAUCUUUUUAUCCUAAGUCCUAUGAGUCAUCUCAGUCUUUUGUUCUGGAUGCCAUACUGCUCACACAUUUUGACGUGCUGUACCUCAGUUUUAUUCCCCCUGACACUUAGAAUCCUUGUCUUCUGCCCUCUAGUUCCCAGUUACCAUCUGAGGCUCUACCCGUCAUGUUAACUCACAUGGACCCAUUUCCCUAGGUUUUUGAUCUCGAGUUAUUUAAUAGCUGCUCAGUCUUGAUUUUCAGUGUUCUGCUUGCACACAUAUACCCAGAAUUGCAAGGGAGUAUGCUUUCACCUCUUGUUCUUAACCAUUGAGGCACUCAAUGUCUUCAUCAGCUUAUCUGACCUCCAUGUAAAGGGAAUAAAUCAGGCAAAAUCCACUAUUAGAGGUCCGUUCUUUCUGUGGACCUAUUGCCACUUUCAUGCUCCUUACUUAUAUAUAUAAAGCUGAAAAGAAUUUAAAAUCAGUGUAUGAAAGAGAAGGUUAGAUGAGCCGUGCACACGUUUUUAUCACUGAGAAUACCUACAGAGUUAAAAAUUCAUAUGCAACUCUAUUAUUCCACUUGGUAACUUAAAAAAUGUAUAAGGAAAUGUCCGAAUCUUUCAUGGUUUCCUUUGAAAGGUCUAUUCUGGAAAAAAAAAAUGUUUUAAAAGAAUUCAUUCAUUUUAGAUUGUGGGUGCUGGAGAAUAUGGUUUUUUUUUUUUUCUCAUAUUACACUCUGGGAACCCUUAUAUUGGAAGAAAGUAAAAAGUACCAUUCAAGUGAUGUGGGUAUACUACUAAAACUGAGAUUUUUGAAGCAGAAAUUCUGCUUCAGUGACUGAAACGUGUCAGAUUGUGGGACUAUCAUAAGGUAUAUGAUAUUCUAGGAGUGGGUAGGGAAGAAAAGAACUCAUAGCCUGGCAUGCAAUCUGGUCAUAGAUGCUAAGAAAAUGAUCUUGGGCACACUGAUUUUGUCAUAUAGACAGGCAAGAUUCAGUGCCCAAGAGUGGUGCAGGGCAGUUGUAAUUUUGGCAGUAAUCAGCAUCUGAGGUAAGUUAUGCGUGAACCCUGCAGAUAUCUUUCUGCAUUUAUGUCAUUCAUUUGUGUGAGACAUGCUUCACUGUAAGUUACCAUAUUUAAAAGAUGGUCAGUUUUGUGACAGUUUUCCUGGAGGUGAUUCCAAAUGAUUCUUGACAUGAUUAUCCUCAGAAAAAAAAAAACAGUAAAUCAAUCAUUUCUUCCUUAUUUUCUCAAACAGGGAUAAAGAAGAAAUAACCUUUAGUCAACCCACCAAUUACAUUUCUCCAUUUUCAGUGUUCAUUGAGCCAUUGGAUAUAAAUGUGAAUACAGAGAGGUACAUACAUGACACUCGCACUUCUCUGUUUAACACCUUAGAGUUUACUUACAGUCCUUCUACCAAGCCUAGAAUCAAUAUUUUUAAGGCAAGAAUCUUUUUUUUGUAUGUUAUAUAAUAUAAAAGUUAUUUAAAGGUUUAGGGAGAGAGUUGUUAGAAUAAAACACAUAGAUGAUGGAGAUCUGGAAAUACAUCUGGACCAUUUCCAUUAAGUCUUAGAGAAAUAAUUCUUAGUAAAUCUUUUCUCCAGAGUUGCAUUUUCUAGGCACAUAACCUUGACAUAUUACAUGCUCUGAUUGGGCUUAGUUUUCUGAUCAUAAGAGAAGAAACCAGUGUUGAGAAACUUACAGUAGAGACAAUAUCCAGGCAUUAGGCAAGUGAAGGCUAAUGUGUGUCCAUAGAGGGUAUAGGGUAUUAGUACGUAUUCGGGGCAAGACUCCCAGGGUAGUAAGUUGAAUAAUCUGGCUGAAUUUAGAAGUAGAGACCAUGGCAGACUCUCAAUUCAAUAUAAGGUGGGGAUGACGGCAAUGGGAAAGAAAAGUUGCACUUUAUGAGCACACAUGGCUACUCACUGAGGAGACUCAAGGAGCAAAGCUGUCAUAGCUGGGCUCCCAGAUUCCAGUGAAGGAUCGUUAAUUAAUUAUGCUGAACUCUAGAGCACAAGGGCAUUGAUGCUGUUGAUAUCUGCCUUGUGAUAGUCAGGAUAGACUAAACAGCUAGAAAAUUGAAGCUUUAGUUAGAGGGAGAAGUCAGGAAGUCAUGGGUCGUAACCAUCAGAAGCUGAGAAACAGAGGACCAGGGGG
This 9813-nucleotide long non-coding RNA is filed under the name Homo sapiens (human). Its description in RNAcentral is "non-protein coding lnc-ASB5-2:3". The record is from RNAcentral. Lineage: Eukaryota; Metazoa; Chordata; Mammalia; Primates; Hominidae.